CCUACGGGUGGCAGCAGUGGGGAAUAUUUCGCAAUGGGCGAAAGCCUGACGCAGCGACGCCGCGUGAGGGAUGAAGGUCCUCGGAUCGUAAACCUCUGUCAGCAGGGAAGAACGGUCACUGUGCUAAUCAGCAGUGCAUUGACGGUACCUGCAAAGGAAGCACCGGCUAACUCCGUCCCAGAAGCCGCGGUAAUACGGAGGGUGCGAGCGUUAAUCGGAAUUACUGGGCGUAAAGCGCUCGUAGGCGGUAUGUCAAGUCUAGGGUGAAAUGCCCGCGCUCAACGUGGGAACUGCCUUUGAAACUGGCAAACUGGAGUGUGUGAGAGGAUAGUGGAAUUCCAGGUGUAGGAGUGAAAUGCGUAGAUAUCUGGAGGAACAUCAGUGGCGAAGGCGACUAUCUGGCACAUAACUGACGCUGAGGAGCGAAAGCGUGGGUAGCGAACAGGAUUAGAUACCCGGGUAGUC
This 465-nucleotide ribosomal RNA is filed under the name uncultured bacterium. RNAcentral describes it as "partial 16S ribosomal RNA". It matches the Rfam family "Bacterial small subunit ribosomal RNA", at positions 338 to 795 of the family's 1533-position model. The record is from RNAcentral.